UAUCUGAUUGAUUCUGUCAGCGCUAUAUGCUUACGUAAAAGACUAAGCCAUGCAUGUACUGUUCAACUAACGGUGAAACUGCGAACGGCUCAUUAGAGCAGAUAUCAUUUAUUCGGUAAUAUUUUUGGAUAACUGCGGUAAUUCUGGAGCUAAUACAUGCAUCAAUGCCCCAACUUCGGAAGGGGUGCAAUUAUUAGAACAGACCAAUCGUCCUUGGACGUAGUUUGUUGACUCUGAAUAACGCAGCAUAUCGGCGGCUAGUCCGCUGAUAAUCCGAGAAAGUGUCUGCCCUAUCAACCUGAUGGUAGUCUAUUAGUCUACCAUGGUUAUCACGGGUAACGGAGAAUAAGGGUUCGACUCCGGAGAGGGAGCCUUAGAAACGGCUACCACAUCCAAGGAAGGCAGCGCGGCGCGUAACUUAUCCACUCCUAAUCGGUGAGAUAGUGACUAAAAUAAAAAGACCAUUCCUAUGGAACGGUUAUUUCAAUGAGUAGAUCUUAAAUCUAUCUUCGAGUAUCUAGUGGAGGGCAAGUCUGGUGCCAGCAGCCGCGGUAAUUCCAGCUCCACAAGUGUAAAUCGUCAUUGCUGCGGUUAAAAAGCUCGUAGUUGGAUCUUAGUUACGUUACUUUGAUUCGCCUUUGGCGUUAAUCAUUGUCGUGACUAUUUUGUUGGUUUCUGUUGGUGGCUUCGGCUCCUUCAGUGGCUAGCGAGUUUACUUUGAAUAAAUUAGAGUGCUCAAAACAAGCGUUUGCUUGAAUGCUCGAUCAUGGAAUAAUAAAAGAGGACUUCGGUUCUAUUUGUUGGUUCAGGAACUGAAUUAAUGGUUAAGAGGGGACAACUCGGGGGCAUUCGUAUCCCUGCGCGAGAGGUGAAAUUCGUGGACCGCAGGGGGACGCCCUAAAGCGAAAG
Non-coding RNA from Heterorhabditis bacteriophora, 909 nucleotides. Lineage: Eukaryota; Metazoa; Nematoda; Chromadorea; Rhabditida; Heterorhabditidae. The record is from Rfam.